AUUGAACGCUGGCGGCAGGCUUAACACAUGCAAGUCGAGCGGGGUGAUGGUGCUUGCACUAUCACUUAGCGGCGGACGGGUGAGUAAUGCUUAGGAAUCUGCCUAUUAGUGGGGGACAACAUCUCGAAAGGGAUGCUAAUACCGAAUACGUCCUACGGGAGAAAGCAGGGGAUCACUUGUGACCUUGCGCUAAUAGAUGAGCCUAAGUCGGAUUAGCUAGUUGGUGGGGUAAAGGCCUACCAAGGCGACGAUCUGUAGCGGGUCUGAGAGGAUGAUCCGCCACACUGGGACUGAGACACGGCCCAGACUCCUACGGGAGGCAGCAGUGGAGAAUAUUGGACAAUGGGGGGAACCCUGAUCCAGCCAUGCCGCGUGUGUGAAGAAGGCCUUAUGGUUGUAAAGCACUUUAAGCGAGGAGGAGGCUCUUUUGGUUAAUACCCAAGAUGAGUGGACGUUACUCGCAGAAUAAGCACCGGCUAACUCUGUGCCAGCAGCCGCCGUAA
RNAcentral lists this ribosomal RNA (503 nucleotides) under uncultured bacterium. Its description in RNAcentral is "partial 16S ribosomal RNA". It matches the Rfam family "Bacterial small subunit ribosomal RNA", at positions 30 to 523 of the family's 1533-position model. The record is from RNAcentral.